Molecule: long non-coding RNA, 371 nt
Organism: Anopheles aquasalis
Lineage: Eukaryota; Metazoa; Arthropoda; Insecta; Diptera; Culicidae
Source: RefSeq, a predicted model, not a curated record
GAGCAGUCGUGGAGUAAGGACGUGCGUCCCGUUGGUCUCUGCUGAAACGUGCGUUGCGUGGUGAUAAAUAAGCAUUUCGCGGUAUUAUCAUGACCGACUUAUACUUGGAUGAUUUUGAUGAUGAGGAGCUAGUGACAUUGGUGGCAUUAUAUUUGCUAAUGAAGCAGCAAUGUCGUCGUGCUGUCGUGAAAAAAACAGAAUCAGAUGCCAAACGGUAACCCGCCCACGUCCACGUGAGAGCUUAGGUGUAGGAUCGAGAUGUUUAACGACAGGAGCCUGUUGCCAUGAUUUUUUUUAGGCUAAGGGCGUCCAUAGAGGGUGAUGUUGUUCGACGAGUUUUGAAAUAAAUCUGGAACGUUCCUUUCGAUUUA